UGGGGAAUUUUGGACAAUGGGCGAAAGCCUGAUCCAGCAAUGCCGCGUGUGUGAAGAAGGCCUUCGGGUUGUAAAGCACUUUUGUCCGGAAAGAAAUCCUUGGCUCUAAUACAGUCGGGGGAUGACGGUACCGGAAGAAUAAGCACCGGCUAACUACGCGCCAGCAGCCGCGGUAAUACGUAGGGUGCAAGCGUUAAUCGGAAUUACUGGGCGUAAAGCGUGCGCAGGCGGUUUGCUAAGACCGAUGUGAAAUCCCCGGGCUCAACCUGGGAACUGCAUUGGUGACUGGCAGGCUAGAGUAUGGCAGAGGGGGGUAGAAUUCCACGUGUAGCAGUGAAAUGCGUAGAGAUGUGGAGGAAUACCGAUGGCGAAGGCAGCCCCCUGGGCCAAUACUGACGCUCAUGCACGAAAGCGUGGGGAGCAAACAGGAUUAGAUACCCUGGUAGUCCACGCCCUAAACGAUGUCAACUAGUUGUUGGGGGAUUCAUUUCCUUAGUAACGUAGCUAACGCGUGAAGUUGACCGCCUGGGGAGUACGGUCGCAAGAUUAAAACUCAAAGGAAUUGACGGGGUCAUAGCUGUUUCCU
This 586-nucleotide ribosomal RNA is filed under the name uncultured bacterium. Its description in RNAcentral is "partial 16S ribosomal RNA". It matches the Rfam family "Bacterial small subunit ribosomal RNA", at positions 355 to 1375 of the family's 1533-position model. The record is from RNAcentral.